Molecule: ribosomal RNA, 979 nt
Filed under: Helotiales sp.
Lineage: Eukaryota; Fungi; Ascomycota; Leotiomycetes; Helotiales
Description: SSU rRNA
Rfam family: Eukaryotic small subunit ribosomal RNA
Source: RNAcentral
UCUAGUAUAAGCAAUCUAUACGGUGAAACUGCGAAUGGCUCAUUAAAUCAGUUAUCGUUUAUUUGAUAGUACCUUACUACUUGGAUAACCGUGGUAAUUCUAGAGCUAAUACAUGCUAAAAACCCCGACUUCGGAAGGGGUGUAUUUAUUAGAUAAAAAACCAAUGCCCUUCGGGGCUCCUUGGUGAUUCAUAAUAACUUAACGAAUCGCAUGGCCUUGUGCCGGCGAUGGUUCAUUCAAAUUUCUGCCCUAUCAACUUUCGAUGGUAAGGUAGUGGCUUACCAUGGUUUCAACGGGUAACGGGGAAUUAGGGUUCUAUUCCGGAGAGGGAGCCUGAGAAACGGCUACCACAUCCAAGGAAGGCAGCAGGCGCGCAAAUUACCCAAUCCCGACACGGGGAGGUAGUGACAAUAAAUACUGAUACAGGGCUCUUUUGGGUCUUGUAAUUGGAAUGAGUACAAUUUAAAUCCCUUAACGAGGAACAAUUGGAGGGCAAGUCUGGUGCCAGCAGCCGCGGUAAUUCCAGCUCCAAUAGCGUAUAUUAAAGUUGUUGCAGUUAAAAAGCUCGUAGUUGAACCUUGGGCCUGGCUGGCCGGUCCGCCUCACCGCGUGCACUGGUCCGGCCGGGCCUUUCCUUCUGGGGAGCCGCAUGCCCUUUACUGGGUGUGUCGGGGAACCAGGACUUUUACUUUGAAAAAAUUAGAGUGUUCAAAGCAGGCCUAUGCUCGAAUACAUUAGCAUGGAAUAAUAGAAUAGGACGUGUGGUUCUAUUUUGUUGGUUUCUAGGACCGCCGUAAUGAUUAAUAGGGAUAGUCGGGGGCAUCAGUAUUCAAUUGUCAGAGGUGAAAUUCUUGGAUUUAUUGAAGACUAACUACUGCGAAAGCAUUUGCCAAGGAUGUUUUCAUUAAUCAGUGAACGAAAGUUAGGGGAUCGAAGACGAUCAGAUACCGUCGUAGUCUUAACCAUAAACUAUGCCGAC